GGGAGGGAGGAAGGGAGGAAGUGAGCUUCCACUGUCAGAGAAUUAAGACAAAAAGCUUUCCCUGCGACACCAGGUGAAUCACCUGCAGUCCCCUGUAGCUGAGGCCUCUCCUCCUGUCAGGACCCCUCUCUGUCCCCUAGACCUGGUGGAAGAAGGGCAAGCCUGAUUGACAGGCAGCCGACCUGGAGUUCUAGGUCUGCUGCACUCUGGUGAGGCUUGCGACCUUCAAGCUGGAACACGCAGCCGGUGAAGUGCUUUACAGGUGCCCUCCUGGGGGGGCAGUGGGCUCUGAGAGAUGGCCAAGCCCUUCCUGUCCCGUUCCUCGGGGACGCUGAGCUACCUUUUAGAACAGAAGGCAGAGAGGCAAAGCGGGUGGGGACAGAGCCCGUCAGUGGCCACGCCUCUGCUGUCCUACGAGCUGCUAGACCCCUCAGGGGAGAGUCCCUCCAUUUACGUCAGGGGGAAGAAUCCAGGAGGGACCAGCCACUGGUCAAAGCCACAUGCAGUGCCACCUGGGAAGAGAGGGAAAGCAGUGGCCUCACACUGCCAGGCACGGGAGUGCAAGCUGUUGGUUUCCUGUGUGACAAGCCCCGACCCUUGGGGUGUCCAAACACAGCCUUGAGUGAGGCGGGGUUCUCACGAUUUGGGGUAUGACUGGUCAACCAAAGACCUUUUCCUCCUACAAAUGUGAUAUAACUUUACUCCCUAAUAGACGUGGCAGGGGGGACUUUUUUCAGUACAAAAUAUCUGUCAAGAACAAUUUUAGAGGAGAACAAGUUUCCUUAGGGAUGAGGACUUCAAAGGCCUUUGUCCACAGAGGGCCAACACCACAGCUGUGGCCGAAGGGCGCGGCUGAGGACAUGACAGCCAGAAGGCAGAGAGAGACUCAGCUGGCUCUCCAGGGACAAAUGAUACCCCAAAUGCUGGCCCCCAGGGAACCACCUUCUCUAGCCACACCCCACGGGCCUAGAGUCACCAGCCAAGUUAAUCCGUUCAAGUGGAUUUAUGCACUGCUUGGGUUGAUCCUCUCGUAACCCAGCGCUUCCUCCUCCAAACUUUCUUGCCUUGUCUUACACUUGAGCUUUCGGGGGACCCCUCACAUCUGAACUAUAGCAGGAACAUCUUCCGUUUAUGUCACAGAUGUUGACUGAUCCUUCAACAAACACUUGGGAAUAAUGAUCCAGGGCCAGGGGAGUUGAUCAGCAGAACCCUGGGCGUCUAAGAACUGCUGUGACCCUCCCAGCCCAACAUAACUGACCUGCUCAGAAUCCAGGGAGUGGACCUGCAGCUGACCUCUUCUUCCUUUCUCAGGAUGUGACCACACUCUCCAGUGUCUGACUGCUGAUUCUCACUGCCAAUGGUGUGAGGGUGUGGGAUGCUCUGCCACAGUCUGCAAACUCUCAGUCACGGCACUGCCACGACAGUGACUUCUGGCUUUGAACCUGAAGGCCUCCACCAGACCAGCUCCUCCUGGGCCAGCCUUGCCACCCCACGGAUUGACAGAUACUUGUCUCCAUGCAAGUGUGAAUCCCACAGUAUGCGUCCAUCGCAGCUUCGACAUGGGUCAUUCCUGGGUGUGGGAGAUAUAAAAGAUGCCAGAAGGCGAAGAAAUCGGUUUUUAAAAAGAAACAAGAAAAAAAAUAUUGAUUCCUAGAAGAAAAGACUUGUCAAGGCAAUUUCUUGCAAGAGCAAACCCUUCAUUAGAAAUCAAGUUAGAGCUAAUUUUGAAGGAGCGGAUAGAUGUCUCCUGGCAUUUCCUAUUGUCGCAUCAUAUAUGGCACCUAUAGAUAAGAGUGAUUGUUUUCAGUCCCAUUUGUAUUAAAAGAAAGCUAACCAACUGAAGAAAAUCAAAUGUAAUUAGUUUUACCUAAAUUAUAGGUUUUCAGAGCAAUUAAUAAAACUGAAUGUUGAAAGCUGCUUGUUAAGCAAAUCAAAGAUCAAGGAAUAUAUUUUCUUUAUUAAAUGUCACUCCUAUGUAAACCAACCUACACAAAUCAUUUUGAAAUACAGCACAUGCGAAACUGGAGUAUUUCGCUGCAGUACUACUUAGGCAAUCCACAGACUGUCUCGAUGGCCAACCACAACGUGAAGUCACUACUCCGUGUCCACUUCUGACCGCUGAACAGGUAGGAGGCACAGCGGCCGACUCUGGGCCGCUGGAAUCAGGCCAAGCUGGCUGAGCGUCCACUCAGCUUUUCCCCAUCCCCACGGACAGGAACAAAUGCUUCACCACUCGAGCCUGGCUCUCGCUGUCCAUAAAACUGGUCUUGAUUUGGACCCAUGGAGCAGGAGGAACUCCUGUGACGUCCCAUGUAGGGCAUUUAGUGCACUGCUAUUCCCAGGGCCUAAGCCCAGUAGAUGCUGGGGACCAUCACUCCAUUUAUGCCAUUUGGGUUGGGCUGAUAGGAUCAAGUGGAAAUAACAGGGUUGGUGGACUCAUGCCACCCUGGGCCUGGGCAGUUGGUGCCCUGUGCUCAUGCGGUUCCCCCAAAGGUCGGAUGGCUGCUGUGGCAUAAAUGUAGCUUCAGGAUUAUUUGGGUCCCUUCUUAGAGAACAAUUACAGUCACACUACAUUUUUGAGAGCUUGUAUGUCUUUCUGCUACACUGUGAAUAUGAAUCUGUGCACAUAGCCUUGGGAGCAGGAAGGAAGCAACCCUAAGCCCCUUGUCUGGCUCGAGUCAUGGUUUUGUCUAUAAAAUGGUGGCAGAAGGCUUGACCUUUAGUAAUGAGAAACUCUGUAGAGAAGGGUCCUUGGAGUAGAGGCUCUCUACCCAGUACGUCUCGCUGGGGCCCUCAAAGAACUUCACAGAAAUAUUUCUACCACCAAGAAUUCAUGUGAUUUGAAUUUCCACCAUGGCUUUCCGGAAUGUUCUCUUUGCAUCACCGUAAGACCAGGGGAUACAUAAAAAUGCUAAGGCAACAUCCUUAGCAACAUCCACAAUUCCUUUCCCUUGUGCAUUUAUUUUCCUCAACCAUUGGGAGCAUCUAACUAUAUUCUACCAAAGUUCCAUCAUUGCAAGGAAAACAGUGUGACUAUGCCCCAUGAGCAGAGAAAAGCCUGAGACACACAGCCUUCUCCAUCGGAAGCAUGGGUCAAGACGAAAACGUCCCACUUUCUCCACAAUGUGAGUUUCCGUAGCAAUUACUAUAAAGACCACUUGAGCAUCUCUUUCAUAAUAACUGUAUAGACCCCCAGGACUGUUUCCCACUGUAUUUUUAUAGGCAGCAAAGACUCCAGGAAACACAGAGAUUUAAUCUGCACCAUUUGUUUCCUGAGGUUCCGAUGGGUUUCCAGGAUCCCUCUGAUCCAGGGGCCCAGAGAUAGAAUUACUGGUGAGCCUCUGUUGGGAAACCAGACACCUCCAGGCGAAUGGAGGAGUUAGGGUUGACACCCUUGUUGGACAGGACAAGGACAGCUCUCCAGAGAGGAGCAGAGUUUCCUUGGAAUCUCCCAAAGGAGAAGGAACACAUCUUAUUUGAAGUAGGAGACAUACAGCCAUGUAAUGCUGGCUUUCUUCCAAAUCAGAUGCCAGACCAGGCAGAUAGAAUGGGACGUGUCUGUCCUGUAGAGAGUCUGGUCCCUCUAGGGCCUUGAGUUUUCUGUGAGUCCACCUGAAAAAAGAGGGAGGUGACUUCUUCAUCAGACCUUUGGGGGCACUGCACAAAUACAGGGCACCAACUGCCCAGGCCCAGGGUGGCAUGAGUCCACCAUCCCUGUGUCCUUCACUUGGAGUGUGGAGGAAGAGCUGCUCAGGUCAGAACGGUGGUCUACAGAGCCUAAAUCAGGAGUUCUAGUUUUAAAAAGAAAUAAACAAAAAUAAGCAUACAACCCCCCAAGCAUGAAACCCCCAGAUAAACUUGCAAACCUUAGUAUUCACCUAAAGGACGGGAUGUUAACAAGAUGUUAAACAGCACACAGAACAGCACACAGAUGAAGGAAGAGACCAGAAAUAAGGAGCAUAUGGAUGAAAAUUUGCUUAAAAUACACAUGGGCUUAGAGAAAAAAGGAGAAAGAAAAACCUUUCUGGCCAAAAAAAAAAAAAAAAAUGUGCCUUGGGAUUGUGCCAAGUUUAAAAACAUUUGAAGCAAUAAUCUGAGUUUAGAAAAAGUACAGAAAGAUUCCUCUCACCCUCCUGGAUAAGCAAGGAAGAGAAACGUGGGCUGCAGAUCAGGCGGCUCGCUGUGGACCGCGGGGAUGCUGAACACGGCUGGCUUACCCCAGAGAGUGAGGCGCUUACCCUUGACACUCCUGUUGGGCCCACGUGGCGACAGGGAGGAGUCACCUCUGCCAGCGGGCUCCUGGCACUCCACCCUGAGUCACCUCUGCCAGCUGGCUCCUGGCACGCCACCCUGAGGCUUACUGCUCUCUGCGCCUUGGAAGGUUCAGCCCCGUGGACCUAGACCGUGCUCUCCGUCCGCACUGCUUCCCCAUUGUGUCCCUCUCUCCAUGUCUCUUCCUCUCAAACACAACUCUCCUCCCCUCCCCUUUAUCCAAACGAUGCCAGCCAGUCCUCCAGUCCCUGGCAGCAUAUUUGGAAAAUCCCUUCCAGGCUUCUCCACACCGGGAGGACCCGACCCUGCUACCUGGAAUGGCCAAGAGAGAGGCAGCAGGCUGGGAUCCUGGCUUUUGUCACUUUUAUUGAUGAGUAAUUUUUUCGAUCGCCUGUCUCCCAGUUCGUCCUAUACUUGCCAAGUGAGAGUCCAGUGGCCGCUCCUUGUUGUCUUCUCAGAGGAUCGGAUCCCAGCUCACUCGGAGCUGACUACACACACCCUUCUGUGUUCCAGUGGCAACCGCUGAGGCCCCUCCUGGAGUCUGCCCCAAGCCACGGGAGGGGUGCCACGAGGCUCUGCUUCUGGCCAAAUCAACAGUGACUCAGUUCCACUGUCAGGGAGCUGGUCUUGUACCUUGUUGGGUUGAAGGUCACUGAGUCACAGAGGAAUAACCAAGUCUGUGUAGAACAGAGACAAGGUGUCACUAAGCUGCUUAGGGCCUCUCUGAGUUGCUGAGGCUGGCUUUGAACUCACCACCCUCCUGCCUCACUCCUGAGGCACUGGGAUUAGAGGCCUGAGCCACUGCCUGGCAGAAAGGUCCUUUUUCCUCUUACCUGGGACCUAAGUCCUGCGUGGCGAGAGACGGUGGUUGUCUCACUCUGCUGCCUGCUGCUUGGGCCGCGUGCCUGGAGUGGGUGAUUUACAAACCAAGGAGUGAGUGGCUCAUGGCUCUGAGGCUGGACGUCUAGAGAGGGCCACUGGGCCAGGGACCUCACGUGUGACCAGGAGGCAGGAAGGCUGGGGCCAGGAUGGCCCUAGGGGCGGAGCUCCAGGGUGGCUCUUGUGGGACUGGACCCAGUUCCCCAGAGGGGGGCUGUGCUUUUUUUGGGAAGGGUGAAACCCACCAGGGAAGGAGCACAACCCCUUCAUGCGGGAGUCCUCAGGGCCUGGACCCCUGUCACUUCCCAGCACCGCUGCACAGAGAACGGAAUUCACCCUGAGUUCCGGAGCAGACUGACCAUGUGGAAAGGCCAGCAGAGCGUGCUGGACAUUCAGUCCACACAGGGUGGGAAAUGGUGACAUCAGGGAGAAGAGAAGGGUGAGCCCCCCCGGAGGAACUCCUUACCACAGAGACACAAACACAGGCGCGACCACACGCGCCGUUGGAGCUGUGCACCUGUCAGGCUAGAGCCAUGCGGAAUCAGGGAGGAAACCCAAUGGGAGGAGCAUGUUCAAUGGAAAGUCUUCCCUAUGUCCUCCAGCCGGGCCAGCUCUCUGGAAGUCCUUCACUGCACAUCAAGCUGCUUCAGAGGAGGCAGACUUCAUUCCGCUUUCUCUUGUUUGAUCACAUCUUUUCUGCCCAAGGUGGGGCUCCCUCAUGCACUAUAAAAUACUUCUUUGUAUAUCCUCCAUUGCUGACACCAGAGCUUAUGGAUCCUGCGAGGACCCUGGGAUGCAGCUCAGGCCAAUCUGUGGAGAUGAGAGACCACACGGAACGGAGCCGUCCCUCCUGGUUCCCUCCAGCCCAGCAGCCCACAAGCACUGACCCCGUGGACGGGUCCCUGCAGCCCAGCCUACCGUGCUGCUGCUGCUGCUGCAGAGGUGGAGAUGAGAAGGACGGCCACCCAGGACACCAGGCAGGAGGAGGAGGCUUGCUGUCCCAGCACCUGAGCUUGGCCGUGAUGUGUAGUCAGCACACACUGGCCAGUAGAGAUGGCCACCAAGAGCAGGAGACAUGGAGACACUGAAGCUCCCAUGGAUUCCUUCUGUGAUGAACAAGUUCCUGCUUCUGUAAAUCUGUACCAAACUAUGGAUUAUAAGCAGAUUUUAAUAAAAUUUAAAAUGA
Ictidomys tridecemlineatus (thirteen-lined ground squirrel) is the source of this 6337-nucleotide non-coding RNA. The record is from RefSeq and is a predicted model, not a curated record. NCBI's taxonomy places the organism in Eukaryota, Metazoa, Chordata, Mammalia, Rodentia, Sciuridae.